GAGUUUGAUUAUGGCUCAGGACAAACGCUGGCGGCGUGCAUAACACAUGCAAGUCGAACGAAAUCUACAUGAUUUAGUGGCGAACGGGUGAGUAACGCGUGAGAAACCUGCCUUACACAGAGGGAUAGCCGUUGGAAACGACGAUUAAUACCUCAUGACACCGUGACAUCGCAUGAUGAUGCGGUCAAAGAUUUAUCGGUGUAAGAUGGUCUCGCGCCUGAUUAGCUGGUUGGUGGGGUAACGGCCUACCAAGGCGACGAUCAGUAGCCGAUCUGAGAGGGUGGACGGCCACAUAGGGACUGAGACACGGCCCAAACUGCUACGGGAGGCAGCAGUGGGGAAUUUUGCACAAUGGGGGAAACCCUGAUGCAGCGACGCCGCGUGAACGAAGAAGGCCUUCGGGUUGUAAAGUUCUGUCCUUG
Molecule: ribosomal RNA, 422 nt
Filed under: Helcococcus sp. canine oral taxon 069
Lineage: Bacteria; Bacillati; Bacillota; Tissierellia; Tissierellales; Peptoniphilaceae
Description: bacterial SSU rRNA
Rfam family: Bacterial small subunit ribosomal RNA
Source: RNAcentral